RNAcentral lists this unclassified non-coding RNA (2738 nucleotides) under Acromyrmex echinatior (Panamanian leafcutter ant). Its description in RNAcentral is "zinc finger protein Elbow, transcript variant X1". The record is from RNAcentral. Lineage: Eukaryota; Metazoa; Arthropoda; Insecta; Hymenoptera; Formicidae.
CGCCGGUUGACACGUCGUUGGCCGGGUCGUUCUCGCACCAGUCGCACCCGGCAAAAGCAGGCAAAAGUGUCGGCGUAGCCGCGAACCGACAACGACCACCGUGUCGCUACGGCCGUCGCCGUCACCUUUGCGUUCGCCUCUUUCGCCCGCAUUGGUUAGUCGCCGCCGCUCGUGGUGUUUCGUGUCGUUCCGCGCGUCGUAGCCGCGCGUCGUCGUCGUCGUGAUACACCGUCCGAUCCGCUCCGGGGCCUCCGGCUCGCCUGAAGAGGAGUGAGGAGGAGAGGGGCCAGCCUACGACGAUGUUAUCGCGGAGUCGCUCGAAGAAGGGGAGAUGCUCCCCCGGGGAGCACGAAUCUGCGGUGUACGAGGGUAGGGGAAGUCAGCUGAACGCCGGUGGAGUGGUGAGGGUCGGGCGACGAGAAGGGCAAACCGAGAGCGCUCCACGUCGACCGCUCCGAGCGGUUUAGUAGCGAGUCGAGUCUCACCGCGUCAACGUGUUGAAGAUAUAUCGAGUACGAUAACUGUACUGUAACUGUGACGCGAGUUCGUUUUCUUUCUUUUUUUGUUUCCGCGUGAUUCGUCGUUUCAACGGACGCUGGGUUGCUCCGACCUAAGGGUGCUCCAACGAUUUGUUUCUCCUAUUCUCUUUCUUUCUUUCUUUCUUUCUUUCCCCCCCCCCUCUCUCUCUCUCUCUCUCUCUCUCUCUCUCUCUCUACGUAAUUUAGUGCUUGUGGAAAAAAAAGAGUUUUGUGCGUAUCGCGCGCACAGAUAAGUGCCGCUUCAUCACCGAAUCAACUUAAAGCUUGGUGCAUGGCUUCGCGUCCGAGAGUGAUAUCGUUGUUUCACUGCUGCGGCGGAUAUAAGAGGAAGAUAGUGCGACGGAUCGCGCGGCUGGAUCGCCGAUGAGCCGUCGAGUGUGAUAGAAAAAGUGGUGCCUAUCGUCGAGUAAUACGACCGACGGCGCGAGAGGAUCGACCGCGAAAGAUGCUGACGUCCAGCGCGAAUCAGUAUCUCCGUCCUGAUCAUUACCUCACGCCGCUACCUACUACGCUGGAUGCGAAGAAAAGUCCACUUGCACUGCUCGCACAGACCUGCAGUCAGAUAGGAGCGGAUCCACCGUCCAACAAAUCAUUAUUAAGUUCCUUGGACAAGACAUCGAGUAACAGAUCAUCCAAAACGGAACAGUCUCGCGAGAAAUCCUCGCCGACGAUAACAGUGUCAGCCACGGUGCCGACGUCGGCGAGCGAGUCCACGAAGACUAGUUUUAAGCCAUACGAAUCCUGCCUGGGACGUGAGAAGGCGUGCACGCCGGACGAGUCGCGAUCGACGUCAAGUCACUCGACGUCCGGCCGAUCGAGGACGCCCGGUAACAGCGGCAAACGAUGCCCAAGCAAUCAGAGUGCCACGUCGACGCGCGCGGUCACGCCGCAAGGUAGGAAAACAGCAACGCCAAACGGCGAGGUCACGCGAGACUCGCCGGCUUCAAGAAACUCGGCGCCUUCGGUGCCGUCGAGUACGACGGACGCUUCUACGAGUCAGCCAACCGUGAGUAGUCCCUCGUUACAAGUGAAACCCGCCUACAGUCCCGUCAGCGUGCUCGCUAUGGCCGAUCCAUCAAUCAAGGAUCUCCCAUUGGGCACGUUUAAGCCUGGCGUUAGUCUACCAGCCUCCACCGCCGCCUACUUGGGCUACAGUCCCGGUCAACUACCCAUCGACGUGAUGGCCAAUUCGCUCAUGUCUCAUCACGCCGCUCUGAAGAAUGGCAUCAACCCUUAUCUUUAUGCACGAUUGAAAAGCACCAGUGGACCCGCGGACAGUCUGAUGCCGAUAUGCCGUGAUCCCUUCUGCACCGGCUGCCAGCUUAACUCGCAUCUACUGUCGAACCCCGCGACAGCCGCAGCGGCAGUCGCCAGCAUCGCCAAUGGCAAGUUGCCAUCGGGUGCGAGCGCGACGCCGGGCUCCUGUCCGGCUGGGUGCGCUCAGUGUGAUCACAAACCCGGCAGCGUUUCGCCCUACGGCUCGUUGGUUUACGCGCAUGCGCAACUCGCAGCAUUGGCCGGCACGCAACUACCCUACGUGUGCAACUGGAUCGCGGGUGAUACCGCGUACUGCGGAAAGAGAUUCGGUACGUCCGAAGAGCUGCUGCAACAUCUUAGAAGUCAUACGAACGUGUCGGCGAGCGCAACCGAUCCCGCGAGCGCGGCUGCCGCGCUUUCCCUCCUGCCUGGCCCACCCCCGGCACUACACCCGACUCAUCCUCUGUUCGCGAGGUCUUACCCUACGCCGCCUUUGAGUCCACUCGCUACCGCGCGCUACCAUCCCUAUGGGAAACCCUCGCCGCUCUUGACACCGUCUCUGUCGACGCUCGGGCUGCCGCUUCCGCCGCCGCCACCGCCACCACCGCAUCCACACGCGACUGCCGGACUGGCAUAUUUCUCGCCGUAUUCUAUCUACGGAUCUCGUCUAGGUGCUACCUCCGGGAUGCACCAAUGAGUUCUCGGCGAUGAACCGAGACGCGAAACGUGAGCGAAACGCUUUCGAGAUAAGUCGGCCGGCGAACUGUGAUUCUGCUACGGAUUUGAAUACGUGAACGAAGAGCAUCGGUUCUACUAUAAAAGCGGUGCUUUUGUCACGGCAUCUCGUGAAGGAAUCUGGAGUCAUAAAACGGAUAUCGAAGCGAAAGAAUCGAGAAUGAAUUCUCAUGUAUCAGCUUAGACCAGAAGCGACGAAUUUAUGAC